This 1871-nucleotide long non-coding RNA is filed under the name Rhipicephalus microplus (southern cattle tick). Its description in RNAcentral is "uncharacterized LOC119163903, transcript variant X1". Lineage: Eukaryota; Metazoa; Arthropoda; Arachnida; Ixodida; Ixodidae. The record is from RNAcentral.
AAAAAACUAGUCGCACGUGCCGGCACGGAUUCUGUAGCUGCCUGUUCGACUUCGCGGAUCACAGAAAUAUACGAGAAUGAAGGACACGGUCGGUCCGUGCAGGGCGAUCGUGGAGAGUAACAGCGACGCACAAUCAGUUUCUGAUAUUGCAAAAACGAGUGAAAAAGGAUGGGAUUCCCAACUAUGCUGGUACGAAAGAAUCAUGCUUUGGGUGCUACGACAAGGAACCAUACCUCAGCACUUCGCCAUCGUCGCGGAUGGUAACCGGCGUUUUUCUCGGAAAAAGAAAAUAUCCCUGAGCCAAGUCUACUCUCUUAUGUUUAGGAAGUUCACUACGACUUGGCCCUACAUGGCAGCUCUCGGUGUUCCCGAGGUCACCUAAUUCAUGAUCAGCACUCGUAACUUCAGCCGCAAUACCAGGGACCUCGUUACUGCCAUUGAUGAGAUGAUGAAAUUCUUCGCCAGAACCCUUCAGUGCCUAGCAGCAAAGCUUAGGCUCUGCGUAGCGUAUAACACCAAGGUCGGAUUGAAGAACAUGGUGCUGGACUUAGUGAAGGCCGUUCAAGCGGGAGCCAUUGAAUCAGACGACAUAACUGCAGGUUUCUUGGCGUAGUGGCUCGCUGUCAGUGAGGCUCCUGAAACUGAGCUGUGGUUUCGCAGCAGCGGCGAAAUGCGUUUCAGUGAAUUCUUGGUGCUGCAGAGCGGCUACUCGUAUAUUCACAUCGACCCACAGUUGUGGCCCGCCAUCACAUCCUGGAACUGGAUUUGGGCAGUUCUGCAAUUUCAACCUAAAUGGCCGUACAUCAAGGCCAUUACGGACAGUCAUCGCGAUUUGUGGGCAUCUCCCCAAGACCGGAAUGGCUGCGCGAGUAUUAUUCGUCAGAAGUCUUUCUUGAGGCGCAUCAAAUCUGCAAAGAUGGCGUAUCUAAGCAGCCAGUGCUUCAGCGAAAUUAAUCAACCGACGAACGCAUCCUUGCUAUUCUCCGGGAACCAUCUUACUGAAUGAGGCAGUAAACAUUCUUUCACUACUUUCUUUGGCAUGAACACAUCUUUUCUGAAAAGCUCAGUGUUGUAAGGAUAGUGUGAAGAAUAAAUUAACCAUUUUCGGUGUACCUCCCAUACGAAUGACUCGCAAUUAAAAUAAAAUUGACACACGUGUCUAUAGAAGUAGUUCCAAUCUCAUGCCUGAUAUGAAGCUUUCACAGAGCUCAUGGUAGUUGGGUUGGCAAGACAGCCUUGCAAAUUGAUGCAUCGAAAUUGAGGGUCAUGGCUGAGAAUUCUGAUUAGGCUCUAGAGGGUUGCCGGAAGGCCUGCAAGCCUUAACGGGAGGUGCCUAUAUGAGUUAGUGCAAAGGUACAUUUAAUGAUCACAUGCAGCGAGAGCCAAAUAUAUGAAUGGCAAUUGCAGACACUGACAUAGGGUCAUGCAGCUGAUUGUUUAUCUUCUUGACCCUAUUAUGCGGAACAGCCCAUCAAAUGUAUGCGUAAAGAUGCAAGAAGCUUUCAGUUCCCGGUUCAUGCCCUUGCAGUUCCAAUUCUAAAUGUGGAACGCUGGGCUUUCGUUCUUCGCUUUUGGAACAGUUCAUUACUUUUUGUAUGCUUACGGAUAGUUUUUCAUUAUCUAAGAAUUUGAACAGCGGAGCUGCUUAGGUUCACCGUAAUUUCGCAAUUCGAGCACCACAAGAUGAGUGUGUCCUGACUUUUGGUUUCGUUGGCGUGACAUCACUGAAGUGGUUAAGGACAUACCUUUUUUUCAAAUGGAGCAGAACGAAGAUAGAAAAAACGAAACAGUGCAAAAAAUGAGACACUAGUCGAAGGAGCACACAUACAGAGCGCUGACUUACACAUACAGAGCUGCUCAUGCUUUGAUAA